AUUGAACGCUGGCGGCAUGCUUUACACAUGCAAGUCGAACGGCAGCGCGGGGAGCUUGCUCCUUGGCGGCGAGUGGCGCACGGGUGAGUAAUACAUCGGAACGUGUCUUCUAGUGGGGGAUAACUGCCCGAAAGGGCAGCUAAUACCGCAUGAGACCUGAGGGUGAAAGCGGGGGAUCGCAAGACCUCGCUCUGGAAGAGCGGCCGAUGUCCGAUUAGCUAGUUGGUGAGGUAAAGGCUCACCAAGGCGACGAUCGGUAGCUGGUCUGAGAGGACGACCAGCCACACUGGGACUGAGACACGGCCCAG
Molecule: ribosomal RNA, 308 nt
Filed under: uncultured bacterium
Lineage: Bacteria
Description: bacterial SSU rRNA
Rfam family: Bacterial small subunit ribosomal RNA
Source: RNAcentral